AGAGAGAUUUAUUUCCACAAACAAUGAAAAAACAAUAUUAAAUAAUAUCGAUAAUUUUUAGAGAGUUAGACUAUAAUGAAAACAAUGAAAAACAGUAUAAAACAAUAUCGAUGAUUUUUAUAGAAGUAGUCCAAUUUACACAUUGUUUUGUGCUGGCCAGUAUGCAAGACCGUUGAAGGUCAUCAAGGCUCCUGACCAAUUUAACACUGUUAUUGAUUAAGAAGUCGGAAUUAAUUGUCACAAUAUAAAUAUAAAAAAGACGGAGAAUGAGUCGGCAGAUAUUUUAGUUCCACGAUUCAACACUAAAAGCACAUUGUGAUAGAGUUUAGAGGACAUGUGUAAAAUAUAUAUAAUACCAGUGCUACAUUGUGAUCUAGUACAUUACAGAUCGCCAUAACCGAGUCGGGCUCAGUAGGAAAUAUAAAUGAACAGAAUAGCACAGACACAUUUGCACCAUGUUAUAUAAAUAUUAAGGUAAGACAAUUAUUGGACACGUAGUGGACAUAACGAACAAUAUUAUGUUGUUGUUGUUUUUCGUUAACAUCAUAAUUAAAAAAAUCGCUUUACUCUUUGAAUACUACCCCAAAUGGCAUUGAAAUUUUCACUGGUUGAAUAUGGAAUUUUUUCCAGGAGGCUAUCACUUUUUUUUUUUCUUCUCUAUGACGUCAUUAAAAUUAUGUGGCUCUACGUGUCCAUAUAUUUGAGCAUAGCUCUCUUGUUAAACAGUAUAAAAAUCCUGAGGAAAUAUACACUGAUAUACAAUCGGAAGUUGAAGAUAUAAUGCAAACUGAAAGAAUAAUAGAUAUUUCAAUAUUCAAUCAUAUUAAUGACGGAUUAAAAAAAAAUGUUAACUAAUCUGAAUACAUUGUUAGCAAAAGCUUUUUCAUUUUCUUAGUAAAAAGAGAUAGAGACACAUUUUUUAUUUCAGAUGGGACACCACCCCAAACCUGCACGCCAUUAUAUUUUAAAGAUCGCUUCCCAACAUCAGUGGAAACCUGUGGUGUAAAAUAGGAUCUAUUUUUUUUGGAUCUAGUACCAUACUUAUGUACAUCUUUAAGAUGAGUAAAAUAGUCCUUGAAAGCAGGGGGGAGAAGCCCAUUUUCAUGCCGAUGCAUAAAUUUUGCAAUUUCUAAAGUAUGCAUCUCUGAUAGCUGUAAAAUUUCAUUUUGACAGAAAAGUCGGAUGUUUGUUAUACGACUCCUCUCUGAAAAUGAUAUACACCUAAUUAUUUUAUUUUGUAAGACUUGGAUUGGCUGUAAUGAAGACUUGGCGGCUGAUCCCCAACUAAGGAUUCCAUAUUGCAGUCGUGAAUGAAAUAAACUAUAAUAAACUACUUUCAGCGUUUUUAAAUUCGAAAUUGUUCACCACAGUCUCAAGUUCGGACAGAGAUGUAGCGGACUUCAAAAGAGAAGUAUCAUCUGCAAAAAGCGUGGAAUAGAAAGAAGAUGCAGCCGGGGAGUUGUAUCACGAAGGAAAAAAGACUCUUUCGUGCUUGUCCCAAGAGUGUGCAUAUGGUGUGCUGCAACUGGACUUAUU
Styela clava is the source of this 1536-nucleotide non-coding RNA. The record is from RefSeq and is a predicted model, not a curated record. Lineage: Eukaryota; Metazoa; Chordata; Ascidiacea; Stolidobranchia; Styelidae.